GGGGAAUAUUGGACAAUGGGCGAAAGCCUGAUCCAGCCAUGCCGCGUGAGUGAUGAAGGCCCUAGGGUUGUAAAGCUCUUUCACCGGUGAAGAUAAUGACGGUAACCGGAGAAGAAGCCCCGGCUAACUUCGUGCCAGCAGCCGCGGUAAUACGAAGGGGGCUAGCGUUGUUCGGAAUUACUGGGCGUAAAGCGCACGUAGGCGGAUCGGUCAGUUAGGGGUGAAAUCCCGGGGCUCAACCCCGGAACUGCCUUUAAUACUGCCGAUCUUGAGUCCGGAAGAGGUGAGUGGAAUUCCGAGUGUAGAGGUGAAAUUCGUAGAUAUUCGGAGGAACACCAGUGGCGAAGGCGGCUCACUGGUCCGGUACUGACGCUGAGGUGCGAAAGCGUGGGGAGCAAAC
Molecule: ribosomal RNA, 400 nt
Filed under: uncultured bacterium
Lineage: Bacteria
Description: bacterial SSU rRNA
Rfam family: Bacterial small subunit ribosomal RNA
Source: RNAcentral